GCCUAAUAAUCCCACAAUAAUUGCAACACGUCCAAGUGCCGAGAGGCACAGAUAAGUUCAAAGACUCACAGCUUUAAUGCCAGCAUACGCAACAUAAAUAUUUCAAUUAGAUACAUUAAAUAGCAGAUUUUUUUUUCAUUUUAUCUUUUACAUCAGCUGAUUUAAAAAUUCAGUAAUACUAAAUGUAAUAUAUGAGAACAUAAUUAUACUCACCUAAUGAGUCAUCAUUAUUUCACAUUAAAUAUUUAAAUGUUAAAAAAAAAAAAAAACUCCAUUUGUCAUCCAUGCAUGUUUUAAGAAGGAAUGGAAACAAAGGCAGUGCAAUUGCCUUUUUUUUUUAAUGGUCUAAAAAGUCCCUCUGUGGUUGGUGGUCAUCCCAGUUGAAACUGAAAAAGCAAACAGUUGUAUAGCAGCAUGCAGAAUCCAGGGUAACACAAAGCUGAAAUCACUUCAGGAUCAAUAACAGAUUUUAAAAAAUGACAUUGAUAAGAAGAAUCACAACAUGCUCAUCUAAACGUCCCAGAUAAUCAAAAGAGAGAAGCGUAGAGAAGUGUAGAAGAGGAAGAGAAAGCAGAAAGAAGAGAAAGAGGAAAAGAAAAAGAAAAAGAGAGAGAGAAAUGGAGAAAGAAAACAGUGAAAUGGAGAAAGAGGGAAGAGAGAGAGAGGGAGGGUUCGAGAGCGAGUGUGAGUGGUGGCUAAAUACGAGAGAGAAAAACUGAGAGAGUUGGCCCACAACGUGAGCUUGAUUAGAAAAAAAAUGCUUACUAAGCUAUCCAUUUCACACAUGCAGAGACAGAGGGUUCGAUAUUCAGCCGAUCGAUGAGGGAAAAGGCACAAAGGCAAAAUCGGAUGGAGCUCCUUUUCAAAUUCACAUCUCCGAUGUCCCCCCCAGCAGUCUGCGCUGGUGCGACGCACAGGGAGCAAGGGUUACCUCAAGGCUGUUCCGUGGACCAUGCAAACAAGUCUAGACCAGUGACCUGCUCAAUCGCUCCCUUUGAGGGCCAGGCAAGUUCGGUCAGGAAGAAGAAAGCAAGGCGUGCCCUCUUUUCAUUGAGGGAGCAAGGAGGCAGACGGCGGUGUUCAAGCGAAGCUCCUCAGACUGAGCACAUCUCUGCACAGAUGAGCUGAGAGGUCAAUGAGUUUCUGGGCUGCCACAGUGACUGCCAAGUACAACCAGACACACUCUAUUAGAUGCAUUAUAAAACUGUUGAAACUCUGUCUCUUUCUCUCGCUCUGCUUCUCUCUCACACAAAGAAUACAAAAGAAAUACACUCUUUUAUUACUUUCAAAAUGCUUUUGAGCAGACUUUGUUCAAUAAAGGAAUAAAAGGUGAAUAACUUUAUCCUCUUGCUUGUUUUUUCAAAGAAACAUACUGUGACUUUUAUACACAGGACAUACUACAAGAGAUUUUAACAGGUCAAAGUUGUCUUUGCUGUUUUAGUAGGAGGAUAAGAUGGCAUUUGAGUAUAAAUGUGUAAAAUGUAUUUCACUCAGGCCGGUUAAUCUGAAUCUGACAUUUGGACAUUUUAAGCAUUUAACAGCAUUGCCCUG
This is a long non-coding RNA of Cyprinus carpio carpio, 1551 nucleotides long. NCBI's taxonomy places the organism in Eukaryota, Metazoa, Chordata, Actinopteri, Cypriniformes, Cyprinidae. The record is from Ensembl.